GUGCUCACUUCUGCAGCACAUACACUAAAAUUGGAACAAUAUAGAGAAGAUUAGCAUGGCUCCUGUGCAAGGAUGACAUGCAAAUUCAUGAAGCGUUCUAUAUUUUA
Molecule: small nuclear RNA, 107 nt
Filed under: Chinchilla lanigera (long-tailed chinchilla)
Lineage: Eukaryota; Metazoa; Chordata; Mammalia; Rodentia; Chinchillidae
Source: RNAcentral